Molecule: ribosomal RNA, 1315 nt
Filed under: Micropeplus punctatus
Lineage: Eukaryota; Metazoa; Arthropoda; Insecta; Coleoptera; Staphylinidae
Description: eukaryotic LSU rRNA
Rfam family: Eukaryotic large subunit ribosomal RNA
Source: RNAcentral
ACUAACUAGGAUUCCCUCAGUAGCGGCGAGCGAACAGGGAAGAGCCCAGCACCGAAUCCCGCGGCCGUAACCGGACGCCGGGAAAUGUGGUGUUAGGGAGGGUCCGCUAUCCCGAGAUUGUGCGACGCGUCCAAGUCCUUCUUGAACGGGGCCACUUACCCAUAGAGGGUGCCAGGCCCGUAGUGACCGUCGCCGAUCACGGGAGGAUCUCUCCUCAGAGUCGAGUUGCUUGAGAGUGCAGCUCUAAGUGGGUGGUAAACUCCAUCUAAGGCUAAAUAUAACCACGAGACCGAUAGCGAACAAGUACCGUGAGGGAAAGUUGAAAAGAACUUUGAAGAGAGAGUUCAAUAGUACGUGAAACCGUUCAGGGGUAAACCUGAGAAACCCGAAAGGUCGAACGGGGAGAUUCAGCGCGUCUCACGGUGCGCGAGUCGUGAUCGUUAGACAAACGGCGUUCGCGUCGUGCGCUACGGUUGCGGCCGUUGCAUCGUGAACGCGUGCACUUCUCCCCUAGUAGGACGUCGCGACCCGUUGGUCGUCGGUCUAAGGCCCGCGGUGGAGCCCGUAGGGGUCGGUUUACGCCGAUUCGUGCGGACCCGUGGCUGCCCGGCCGGCUUGUCCGACGGUGUGACAGAAGCGUAGGGCCGCGACUUGUUCGCGUCCGACCCGUCGCAAGAGCGUGUGUGGACCCCGGCGUUCGGACCUAGUGCCGACUCUGGACCCGCUCGUCUGCUGGCGACGGUGCUCUCGGACAGACCCUAUACACGCUGGUCGGCGACGCUAUAGCUUUGGGUACUUUCAGGACCCGUCUUGAAACACGGACCAAGGAGUCUAGCAUGUGCGCGAGUCAUUGGGACCGCAUUAAACCUAAAGGCGUAAUGAAAGUAAAGGCGCGCCUUGCGCGCGCCGAGGGAGGAUGAGCCGCGACACGUCGUGGCUCCGCACUCCCGGGGCGUCUCAUUCUCAUUGCGAGAAGAGGCGCACCUAGAGCGUACACGCUGGGACCCGAAAGAUGGUGAACUAUGCCUGGUCAGGACGAAGUCAGGGGAAACCCUGAUGGAGGUCCGUAGCGAUUCUGACGUGCAAAUCGAUCGUAAGAACUGGGUAUAGGGGCGAAAGACUAAUCGAACCAUCUAGUAGCUGGUUCCCUCCGAAGUUUCCCUCAGGAUAGCUGGCGCUCGUUGUUGCGAGUUUCAUCCGGUAAAGCGAAUGAUUAGAGGCAUUGGGGUCGAAACGGCCUCAACCUAUUCUCAAACUUUAAAUGGGUGAGAUCUCCGGCUUGCUUGAACGUGAAGCCGCGAGAUUCGAAUCAGAG